CUCCUUCCCGCUUCGUCUCUCUCUCUCUCUCUUUCCUCUCUCUGUCUCUCCUCUCCUUUUAAAGUUCCGUUCGAUCAUCGUCACAGUGUCCCUCUCCCUUUCUUCGUCGUCCCCAAUCCUGAAUAUCUCUCUGAUAUUCGCCGUGGAUGGGGUGGUGGGCUGACGGCCACCCCGGCAACCACCCAGGGGCCGGGUAGCACCCUAAUUUUAGCAUCCCGAGAGUUUGCUAGAGGAUCCGCGUGAUUGGCGGUGGAGCGAAAUAGUAUCAUUUUCGCUAUGCGCUCUCUGGACAUGGAGGUGGAGGGACUUUUCGCUACUUAAAUACCCUGCGAUUUCUGCACCAUCAUUAUUCCAACAAAUUUUAAUCAAUACUCCACUACUCCGUAAUUCAUCUCUGGUUGGCAAUAAAUCGGGUUCUCAAUCACGUUUUCUUUGCUUAUAUCUUUAAGUGACAUUGAAGAUGCCUCCUGGUCGCAAGUCUACUAGGCAUCAGCCUGUUGAGUCUUUAGCUCGUGAAGUUGCUCAGUUUUAUGAUGCUAAGGCUCAGGAAUUGUGGGGCACUAAAUUUCAUGAUCGUCCUCUCCUUAUUGAGCGGAAUGUCAUCUUGAGUGAGCUCAACCACACACCUGUUCCAAACAUCAUUCGUGAACGUGGUUGGGAAAAUUUAGUGACCAAUUUACCACGCCACUCGAAGAAUUUAGUUGAGGAAUUUUAUGCCAACAUUCAUGCUAUUGGGGAUGACUAUUCCUUCACUACUUUACUUAGAGGUGUCACGAUUAGGGUGACACCUUCUUUGAUCUCUUCCAUUCAUAGAGUUCCUAGGGUCGAGCAUUCUGACUAUCCAUAUGAUCCCUCGUCUCCGUUAUGCCCAUCCAAACCUGUCAUGGCUACUCUCUUUUGUGCUAAUGACGGAUCUUGGGAUCCUGGCAGUAAUAUCAUUUAUACUUCUCGAUUUACAGAUGAUACACUUGCCAUAUGUCAUGUUAUGUUUUACAACCUGUUUCCCAUUCGACAUACUAGUGACAUUGGGUGACUAGGGCUAGAUUUCUAUAUGCUUUGUUGACAGGUGUUCCAAUUGAUUUUGGAAGACACUUUUGUUCUGUCAUUCUAGAGGCAUUUGAGACAAAAGCAAAACGUAAGUGUCUUCCUUUUCCGUGUUUGAUCACCCUGAUAGCUCUAGCUCAUCAGGUUCCUCUGCCUCGUAAUGAUCCUAUUGUUAGCCAUACGACAGCUAUUGGGAAUAGCACCCUACAGCUGAGUCUUUCUCAUCUUAAAAGAGCAGCACCUCCUAGGCCAAAUGUGCGUAAUCUUAAAAGAGCUGCACCUCCUAGGCCCAAUGUGCAUAAGGAGGUGACACAGCUUGCUCCUGCACUUGAGAUACCUUCUUCAACUUCUGAUGGUCCUUCUACUUCGACUGCACCUGCCCUUGUGACCUUGCAAACUGUGAUGGAGUUCAUAGUUGGCAUGGAGGAACGAUUGUCAGCGCGCCUUGAUUGCUUAGAGCAGCGCCAGAGUAGACUAGAGCAACGCCAGAGUAGACUAGAGCAGGAUGUGCGUACCGUACCCUCUCUGGCAGAUAGAUAGUUGCAAACUCAGUUGUGCCAGAUGGUACCAAUGAGCUUAGUAGCUACAUUUUACCCUUUUGUGAUGAUGUGACAAAAAGGAUAUUUUUUUUAUGAGCAAUGACAAAAGGAGGAGAGUUUUUGUAAAGUUGAUCUAGGGAGAUAUUUAGGGUAGAGUACUUGAGAGUUGAGAUGUAUAGAUCUUUGAUGAUUUGAUCUCUAAAGUCUGGUCUUUUAUUGAUAAACUUUCAUGUAUGAACUAAUAUGAUAUGUUUGUCAGCAUGUUA
This is a long non-coding RNA of Juglans microcarpa x Juglans regia, 1849 nucleotides long. RefSeq lists it as uncharacterized. The record is from RefSeq and is a predicted model, not a curated record. Lineage: Eukaryota; Viridiplantae; Streptophyta; Magnoliopsida; Fagales; Juglandaceae. The transcript is spliced from 2 exons.